UGGGGAAUUUUGGACAAUGGGGGAAACCCUGAUCCAGCCAUCCCGCGUGUGCGAUGAAGGCCUUCGGGUUGUAAAGCACUUUUGGCAGGAAAGAAACGUCAUGGGUUAAUACCCCGUGAAACUGACGGUACCUGCAGAAUAAGCACCGGCUAACUACGUGCCAGCAGCCGCGGUAAUACGUAGGGUGCAAGCGUUAAUCGGAAUUACUGGGCGUAAAGCGUGCGCAGGCGGUUCGGAAAGAAAGAUGUGAAAUCCCAGAGCUCAACUUUGGAACUGCAUUUUUAACUACCGGUCUAGAGUGUGUCAGAGGGAGGUGGAAUUCCGCGUGUAGCAGUGAAAUGCGUAGAUAUGCGGAGGAACACCGAUGGCGAAGGAAGCCUCCUGAGAUAACACUGACGCUCAUGCACGAAAGCGUGGGGAGCAAACAGG
This 429-nucleotide ribosomal RNA is filed under the name Acidobacteriota bacterium. Its description in RNAcentral is "Acidobacteria bacterium partial 16S ribosomal RNA". It matches the Rfam family "Bacterial small subunit ribosomal RNA", at positions 355 to 776 of the family's 1533-position model. The record is from RNAcentral. Lineage: Bacteria; Pseudomonadati; Acidobacteriota.